ACCUGGCUGGCUCAGUUGGUAGAGCAUGCAACUCUCGAUCUCAGGGUUGUGAGUUCAAGCCCCAUGUUGGGUG
RNAcentral lists this transfer RNA (73 nucleotides) under Felis catus (domestic cat). It matches the Rfam family "tRNA". From Rfam's summary of the family: Transfer RNA (tRNA) molecules are approximately 80 nucleotides in length. Their secondary structure includes four short double-helical elements and three loops (D, anti-codon, and T loops). Further hydrogen bonds mediate the characteristic L-shaped molecular structure. tRNAs have two regions of fundamental functional importance: the anti-codon, which is responsible for specific mRNA codon recognition, and the 3' end, to which the tRNAs corresponding amino acid is attached (by aminoacyl-tRNA synthetases). tRNAs cope with the degeneracy of the genetic code in two manners: having more than one tRNA (with a specific anti-codon) for a particular amino acid; and 'wobble' base-pairing, i.e. permitting non-standard base-pairing at the 3rd anti-codon position. Lineage: Eukaryota; Metazoa; Chordata; Mammalia; Carnivora; Felidae. The record is from Rfam by way of RNAcentral.